AUAACCGGCGAUUUCCGAAUGGGGAAACCCAGUGUGUUUCGACACACUAUCAUUAACUGAAUCCAUAGGUUAAUGAGGCGAACCGGGGGAACUGAAACAUCUAAGUACCCCGAGGAAAAGAAAUCAACCGAGAUUCCCCCAGUAGCGGCGAGCGAACGGGGAGCAGCCCAGAGCCUGAAUCAGUGUGUGUGUUAGUGGAAGCGUCUGGAAAGGCGCGCGAUACAGGGUGACAGCCCCGUACACAAAAAUACACAUACUGUGAGCUCGAUGAGUAGGGCGGGACACGUGGUAUCCUGUCUGAAUAUGGGGGGACCAUCCUCCAAGGCUAAAUACUCCUGACUGACCGAUAGUGAACCAGUACCGUGAGGGAAAGGCGAAAAGAACCCCGGCGAGGGGAGUGAAAAAGAACCUGAAACCGUGUACGUACAAGCAGUGGGAGCACGCUUAGGCGUGUGACUGCGUACCUUUUGUAUAAUGGGUCAGCGACUUAUAUUCUGUAGCAAGGUUAACCGAAUAGGGGAGCCGAAGGGAAACCGAGUCUUAACUGGGCGUUAAGUUGCAGGGUAUAGACCCGAAACCCGGUGAUCUAGCCAUGGGCAGGUUGAAGGUUGGGUAACACUAACUGGAGGACCGAACCGACUAAUGUUGAAAAAUUAGCGGAUGACUUGUGG
This 671-nucleotide ribosomal RNA is filed under the name Escherichia coli. Its description in RNAcentral is "bacterial LSU rRNA". It matches the Rfam family "Bacterial large subunit ribosomal RNA", at positions 100 to 814 of the family's 2925-position model. Lineage: Bacteria; Pseudomonadati; Pseudomonadota; Gammaproteobacteria; Enterobacterales; Enterobacteriaceae. The record is from RNAcentral.